This 253-nucleotide ribosomal RNA is filed under the name uncultured bacterium. Its description in RNAcentral is "partial 16S ribosomal RNA". It matches the Rfam family "Bacterial small subunit ribosomal RNA", at positions 524 to 776 of the family's 1533-position model. The record is from RNAcentral.
UACGAAGGGUCCUAGCGUUGUUCGGAAUCACUGGGCGUAAAGUGCAUGUAGGUGGCUUAAUAAGUCAGGUGUGAAAGCCUCGGGCUCAACCCGAGAAGUGCAUUUGAUACUGUUAAUCUUGAGUAUUGGAGAGGGUAGUAGAAUUCCUGGCGUAGUGGUGAAAUACGUAGAUAUCAGGAGGAAUACCGGUGGCGAAGGCGGCUACCUGGCCAAAUACUGACACUGAGAUGCGAAAGCGUGGGGAUCAAACAGG